AUGGCGUCCAAGUCUAGCAUCACCCCCCUCCUCUUGGCCGCCGUCCUGGUCUCCGUCUUCGCCGCUGCUGCGGCCACAGGCCCAUAUUGCUACCCGGGGAUGGGCCUUCCGAGAAACCCGCUUGAAGGCUGCCGGGAGUAUGUCACACAGCAAAUCUGCGGCGUCGGCAUUGUCGGGCCGCCGGUGUCCACCGAGCCGGGGAACACCCCAUGGGAUCGGUGCUGCAGGGAGCUUUCCAAUGCUUCGCAGCAUUGCCGGUGUGAGGCGUUGUGCUACUUCAUAGGGCGGAGGUCUGAUCCGAAUUCCGGCGUGCUCAAGGACCUCCCCGAGUGCCCCAAGGAGGCCCAGAGGGACUUCGCCAAGGUGCUUGUCAUGCCGGGGCACUGCAACAUGAUGACCGUUCACAACGCCCCAUACUGCCUCGGUUUGGACUUUUUUUGCGGGGGUAAAAAGGAGUGUAUUACUCAAGAGCCUGAAACAUCAUCCCUACACAGACUAGAGAUGUUAAGCGGGCCCGAGCGGAGCCAGACCACAGUUCGGUCCUCCGAUCGGUCCUUUGAACACUAG
This 567-nucleotide ribosomal RNA is filed under the name Triticum aestivum (bread wheat). Its description in RNAcentral is "partial small subunit ribosomal RNA". Lineage: Eukaryota; Viridiplantae; Streptophyta; Magnoliopsida; Poales; Poaceae. The record is from RNAcentral.